UUUUUAUUCCCCCACUGCAAGAAAAAAUCAGGCUCUAAUGCUUUAUUUGCUCUCUGGCUUUUCUCGUCUUUGUCCAUGCUGUAAGAUAAUUGCAUGAAGAAUGAAGGAAAAAUUGAAGAACAACCCCCGAGAAAAUAUAUAGAGAUGCAAAUUCUCUAAAAACAAGACAAAUCCCAGAUCGUCUAUAUCCCAGAUUAUACCAACUCUCUCUCUCUCUCUCUGUCUCUCAAUCUUUUUUCUUGUAUGUGUUUGCUCUGGUAAACUCUUCUUCUCAAAAUCUAGCUUCCUUUUUUUUGUUUCUCUCAGUUUCGUGGGUUUCUUCUCUUUUUCUCCUUCUCCUUCUUCUUCUUCUUCU
This 355-nucleotide unclassified non-coding RNA is filed under the name Hevea brasiliensis (rubber tree). The record is from RNAcentral. Lineage: Eukaryota; Viridiplantae; Streptophyta; Magnoliopsida; Malpighiales; Euphorbiaceae.